AUGGUUUCCUCCAGCACUGAGAGAACAGCAACUAACAGCAAGGGUUCCCUCAUCUGCAACUUGCAUGCCUUCAGUCAAAGCACUCAGAGCAUGACGAGUGACGAGCAGUUGUUCCUCUGUCACCUUCCCAUCCUUCCCAUGACUCAAUCGCCUCUGCUUUUGCAGCUGGAAGCCCCACUGUCAUGCAGCAUCAUCCCUGGGCCCAUUGCAGGACCUGCCCUGAGUUGGGGGGCCAGGGUUCCCACCCACCGUGCCCAUGUUUGCUGGGAGGGCAGCAUGGGUCCCUCAGUGCAUUGCGCCCAGAGCUGAAGGCAGCCCGGGGCCCAUGUCUUUCUGAUAAAAAGGAGAGAGCCAAUUAAUCCUGGAGCCAGAACAGCCACAGAAGAGGAGACUUCAGGGAGGAUUUAUCGAGCAGUGGCCCAGAUACAUCAAACCGUCUGCAGCAUAACACAGCAUCCCAUUAGGGCUCCUCUUUGUGUAACAGCUUAUGUUACUUAUCCUAUUAGAUGACUGACGCUGCUUUGAUGUAUUCCAAAGAGACUGUGCUAAACUUUCUGCCAUGGUUUUCCCAGGUGGAUUUCUGCUACCUCUGACGUGAGGUUUGUGCCCACCAGGCAGGGUCCUGAAGCGAGGAUGAGUUGUGUGGCUUUGGUCCUUCCCUUUGCUUGGAGGUGUUGUCCCCAGGCGUGCCAGCAUCAUCGCUCUUUCCCUGUAGCUCUGGGCAGGCUCCGUGCUGACCAGGGAGGUUACUUUGCUCUGCUGGGUCUGCUGGGUGCUGGCCUUGUGGUGGGGCUCUCCUGCCUCCAGCCUGGAGUUAAUUCUGCUGAUCCCCAGUUUCUUCCCAACAACAUGAGCUGUUCACCUCAACCAAAAGGUGGAGUAUUUAGCUAAUCAAAAUCCAUUCUGAAAUUAGAGACUGGCCUAUUUCUGUUGGCAUUACCUCACCUACUUCCUCCAGGUCUGCUUAAUGCAGAUUCCCACAAAUCCUCUGCGGUUUUGCCAUGCUGAGGGUCUGCUAGGCAAAAUGAACUUGAACUUUGUUCACGCUGCAGCUGGGGUUUGGCUGAGCCCUGGUGGAGCAGCGGGGCUGGAACUGUUCUCAGAUUAAUGGAACAUUGCUGCCUACCACCUGGGGAGCUGUGAGAUGCGGCCUUGACCUCAAAUAGUUCCUAUCUGCAGGCAGAGAGAAGGGAAGAGGCUGCCAUGAUCAGGUGCUGGAGCACUGCAAAGCAAGCGAUGUUUUGUCAAACUGACAAAACCUGGCACCCACACUGCUGCAGGGCUGCAUAUACUGUGAGUGCAGAUGAAAAUUCACUGGCUUGGAAGUAAAAGGGUGUUAGAAGUGCCUCUUUGGAAGAUGGCCGCAGGGUGACAUCUUCUGUGCGUGAGCUUGGAAUGUGAAAGAUAUUUCUGGAGAGCUGAACCUUACCAAUAAAGCUGGUGAGCUCUGACAAUCUAUGAAGAUGGUAAACUCAAACAACCUCAUGUUGUGUCCUUGUGAACCCAUCACCCCACAGUGACCUCACAUCUGCCGUGCUGUGGGGUGAUGCACACAAACCCAGUGAGGAGUGUCCAUCCAGGAGAACAUGGCAAAGUUUGGGUGUGGAAUGGCACCAAAGCUCGGCAUAGCUGCUGCACUUCAGUGCCAUUAAAUGUGGUUUGGGAUGUGCAGAUAACCCUGCAAAGCUGGGGGACAGCCCGGUGGUCAGUGUGCAGGGAGAGGGAGGGUUAUAACUAGAGAUCCCAGCCAACAUUUUGAAUUUUAAACCCAGUAAGAUUCCAUCUCCAAACAGCCCUUGUCACACUCUGCCCAGUGCCAAUGCCACUUUUCAAAAGCCACAUUCCAACCUGUCCCUCUGCUGGGAGAGAGAAGAGGACAGACUCUUUAGUGGGUCUAUUGUGACAGGAUAUGGGAAUGGUUUCCAACUCAAAGAGGGGAGAUUUAGAUUAGAUGCAAGGAAGAUUUGUACAAUAAGGGCAGUGGGGCACUGCACAGGUUGCCCAGAGAGGCAGUGAUGCCCCAUCCCUGCAGACAGCCAAGGUCAGGCGGCAGGGGCUCUGAGCACUGAUGGAGCUGUGGGUGUCCCUGUGUACUGCAGGGAGUGGGACCUGAUGGCCUUUAGGGAUCCCUUCCAACUCCAGUGAUGCCUUUGGCAGAGGAAACUGGCCAAGGGAACAGGAAAAGACGAUGGUACAGGAAAGUGCUGCAGCACUCCUGCAAAAAGGCACCAGUGCAGCAGAACAUGUGCAAAUAAGGCAAGCUUUGCCUUCUGAAUUAAGGAUCGGGAAAUAGCAAUAUGGUCAUAAAUGUUGCUUUUCAAUAACUGCGCUUGCAGGCAUUGAAUCCAUUGAAACCUAAGAGGAAGGAGAGGUUUCUCCAUGAGUGAGAUUGGAACCAAAAGCCCCUUCCUUGUCGUGAACAUGCUCAUAGAGCCUGUUGGUUAUCACAAGAACUUAGUUCUUGCCCAUAUUCAGAUGAUAGUAGAUCUUUGAGUCCUAUCUUCCCGAUACAUUAAUGUUUGCUUUAAACAAAUCUAAUCCCACUUUAUAACGCCAUAAGAAAGCACAGAAUGUGGCAUUUAUAUCGCAGUAAAAUUUUAUGUGUGUUUGCACAACUACUUGACAGCACAAACAUCGGUGUUUCCUUACGGGAUGCGCUUUGAGGUUUCUUGUGGGGAAAUGGGACCGCUCACCGGUCACAGCUGGGAGAC
Molecule: long non-coding RNA, 2711 nt
Filed under: Meleagris gallopavo (turkey)
Lineage: Eukaryota; Metazoa; Chordata; Aves; Galliformes; Phasianidae
Description: lncRNA (ENSMGAG00000019167.1)
Source: RNAcentral